RNAcentral lists this long non-coding RNA (1235 nucleotides) under Ceratitis capitata (Mediterranean fruit fly). RNAcentral's name for it is "uncharacterized LOC101453915, transcript variant X1". Lineage: Eukaryota; Metazoa; Arthropoda; Insecta; Diptera; Tephritidae. The record is from RNAcentral.
CGGCACGCUUUGGUCAUUGUGGAGAAUUCUUGCAGAUGCGAUUGCCAGUUUUUCAAAAGCAUUCGGUACGAACGGUGGGCUCCGAUCAAUUAAAUCAUUUACCGUUAGCGCUUUAACAUCCACCAACAACAAAAACAACAACAACAACCACACCAACAAAAUGAAUGAAGCCAAGAGUUUGUUCACCACUUUCCUCAUUCUGGUCUUCUUGCUGGGUUUGCUGUGGGCUUUCUAUGAAGCCGUUUUUUAAAUCAUCUUUUAAAAGUUAAGCGAAAACAACAGCAACAACAACAACAACAACAAUAGCGACAUAUAAACAUGAUUUUCAUGUUUCCAAAAAUUAAAUUUUUCAAAACCACACAUGCACACACAAACAUCCCGUGCGAGUUGGGUAUGAAGUUUAGUUAGUUUUUUUUUUUUUUCAAAUUUUCACCAUUAAAGCGUAUUGCAUGAAAUCUGGCAAAAACAACAAAAGCAACAACAACAUCAUCAUCUUACAUGAUAUAAUUAAUACGCCUAAACAAUUCCAAAAUAACAUUAAUUCACACGCAUUUUGUAAUUAAGGACCAACGAAAGCAAACAAAAGCAAGAGAACAAAUGGAGUUCGUUUAGUUAAGAAAUGAGUUGACGUCAACGCUUGGACAUUCAUGUGAAUUAACAUCGCAACAGCGGCAUUUGCGUGUCGUCGCCACUAAUACUUACAGAGUUAUUUUGAUAAAUAUAAACAUCCAGACUCUGGCAACCUCAAAAACUGUGAGCUGCGAGUUUUCGCUGAAGAGCGGAGGAAAUUAUAAAGAAAAAUUAGCAGCAUAAAGUGUGGAAAAUGUCAGCUGUCAGCAACAAUCCAUCAAUACGUCAAUCACUUUGUCCAGCGGUCGUUCAUCACAUCGUUUACACAAUAAUUGAGUUUAUUUAAAAGUCAAAGAACAAAUGAAAAUUACAAAAAAAAAAAAAAAAUCAUAUAAAAACUAAAAAGAAAAAUUUAAAAAUAGCUUAAAUGCGAGCAACAACAACAACAUGUAUUUAUUAGUAAAUACAAAUUUUAAUUUUUUUUUUUCGUUCUUAGUUGUAUGUUUAAGGGUAUUUGAUAUAAGCCAUAGGUGUAGUGACUUUAUAAUAUUAUACACAUAUAAUAUGAAAUAUAUUUAACAGCAGCAGACAGAAAUAAUAAACAAAAGUGAAAAAAUGAGUAUAUAUGGAACGUUAGGGAAAAUAAUAAGACCGUAAAGUAAAAU